This 965-nucleotide long non-coding RNA is filed under the name Solanum tuberosum (potato). RNAcentral describes it as "long non-coding RNA (STUB_LNC000526)". The record is from RNAcentral. Lineage: Eukaryota; Viridiplantae; Streptophyta; Magnoliopsida; Solanales; Solanaceae.
ACAUGUGAAGGAAGCUGCACACCAUGUGAAGGAAGGUUAGCUCAUGCACUACUUGUAUCAUUUCAUGCAUUUCUUCCCUAAGAGAAGAGAGUUCAUUGGAAUUUACUUCCUUAAUAGUCUAUGAGUCAUAGAAUAUUCAAGUAGAAAGUGGGAAAAAUAAUUUUGAAAAUCAAGUCGCAGUAGUCGACCUACCUAGCAGAGCACGAAUAAUUGAUUUUUGAUGCUGGAAUUUUGCCUAAUCUCGUUAGUCUGUUGAAGAGGCACAUAUAUGCUUAGAACUUUAGAGAUGUCCAUGGUGUUAUUCGGCAGACAACUGAUGCAGUAACAAACCUUGCUCCUGAAACAGUAGAAUCUAAACUGGUGUUAGGUUCGUUUAUUCUUAUAUGAUAAUAUUGUAAAUGCAGAAUGUGUAGAAAAAAGACCUAUUUAUCUUACUUAAUCUAUAUGUUGUGACUAUAGCAUUGAAGGUGGUAUCCCUCCACUUUUUGAGUUGAUUGAAUCUGUUUAUUCAAAGGUGUAGAGAGCAGCUGCAUGAUGCUUAUGAACAUAUUUAAGAAUGGUGAAAACAAGAGUAAAAGGGUCAGUAAAACAAGAGCAAAACUGGACAUCACAUAGCUACUUGCAGAUUAUCCGACUUAUGGUAUAUUGAGCAUCAUAGCACAGAUAAUACAAGUUGUUUGAGAUCAAGGAGGAGAAGAAAUUAAAAGACUCAAGCAGGCAAGCAUUUGGUACUUUUAGAUCCACUUAAUAACCAAAUUUAUAACACUAAGUUGUGCACAUCCAAGAAAGACUCAACCUUGCAAGCAUUUGGUACCAAGAGUCAUAAAAAACACACACACACAACAAACAGAACAAUAAAAAAUCUAACAUAAACAUAAAAGAAAGGUUAUAACCUGAACAAAGAUUCUCUUUUCAUUGUAGACAGCUUCACCGGGUACCAAUUCUUAGUACAAAGAUCAUCUUCC